CCUACGGGAGGCAGCAGUGAGGAAUAUUGGUCAAUGGGCGGGAGCCUGAACCAGCCAAGCCGCGUGAAGGAAGAAGGCGCCAGGCGUCGUAAACUUCUUUUGUCGGGGAACAAAGGGCGCCACGUGUGGCGUUGUGAGUGUACCCGAAGAAAAAGCAUCGGCUAACUCCGUUCCAGCAGCCGCGGUAAUACGGAGGAUGCGAGCGUUAUCCGGAUUUAUUGGGUUUAAAGGGUGCGUAGGCGGGCCGGAAAGGCAGCGGGAAAAGCCCGGGGCUCAACCCCGGCGAGCCGUUGAAACUGGCGGACGAGAGACGGCGAGAAGUACGCGGAAUGCGCGGUGUAGCGGUGAAAUGCAUAGAUAUCGCGCAGAACUCCGAUUGCGAAGGCGGCCGCCUGGCGUGUUACUGACGCUGAGGCACGAAAGCGUGGGGAGCAAAUAGGAUUAGAUACCCUAGUAGUC
This 459-nucleotide ribosomal RNA is filed under the name uncultured bacterium. RNAcentral's name for it is "partial 16S ribosomal RNA". It matches the Rfam family "Bacterial small subunit ribosomal RNA", at positions 338 to 795 of the family's 1533-position model. The record is from RNAcentral.